RNAcentral lists this ribosomal RNA (675 nucleotides) under Triticum aestivum (bread wheat). RNAcentral's name for it is "partial small subunit ribosomal RNA". The record is from RNAcentral. Lineage: Eukaryota; Viridiplantae; Streptophyta; Magnoliopsida; Poales; Poaceae.
AUGAAAGCAAUUAUGGAACUACUGAGAGUUUGUACUAUGUACCCGUUGCUGGUCUUUUUGCUUGCCAUCCUUCUAUUAUCGACUGGGGUGCAUUCCAUCAGACAUGAUACAAGUUUUAGUGAGGGCACUUGUCGAUAUGACAUGAUCAGUCUUGCAGUCCUCUCAUGCAUGCAACCGGACAAGUCAUGGAAGUCACCCUCAGUCUCAUGCUGCAAAGCACUGAUACAUGCAAUCGAUGAGUUGCCGGCUAGCGGUGAGGAUGGAAAGUGUUGUUUAUGCCGUUUCAUGAGGGCAAAGCUUUAUUAUCCUGAAUUGGCAGCAACAUAUAUCUCUUGCCAUGGAAAGGACAGAGCUGUUGUUGCAAAAUGGUCGUUUCCUGUCAUGGUAUGCGGCAAAGCUUGUUCACGAAAAGAGAUUGCCCCUCCUCGUAAGGAGACCGUCAUGGAGAGGCCUCCGUCAAAUUCACAUGGCAGCAAGAUCCUUUUUAUCUUGUUUGCAGCUCUCUUCAUCAUUCUGUUGAUCUUCAUCUUGUACCUCUGGUGGGUCAGGCGGGCUGCCCCAAGGCGACGCGAAUCUCUACCGUUAAUGCAGAUUCAAAAGCAGGCCAGAUCAUCUCCCGGGAGUGGCCGCCGACAAUCCUCUGGGCGGUUGAAGGAGCGUCGGCCAUCUGGAUAG